CUUGGUCAUUUAGAGGAAGUAAAAGUCGUAACAAGGUUUCCGUAGGUGAACCUGCGGAAGGAUCAUUACCGAGGGGGGGGCCCCUUUUCCCCCACGGGGGGGUGGGGCCCCGGAUCUUCCCACCCAUGUUGACCGUACCACGUUGCUUCGGCGGGGACGCCUGCCGGAGGGGUUCCGAAUUAACCGCUGUUCUGUCUCAAGGAUGUGUCUGAGUCGGGCUGGAUGACACCGGCCAAAUCGAAGCGAACAAAACUUUCAACAAUGGAUCUCUUGGUUCCGGCAUCGAUGAAGAACGCAGCGAAAUGUGAUAAGUAAUGUGAAUUGCAGAAUUCCGUGAAUCAUCGAAUCUUUGAACGCAUAUUGCGCUCCCUGGGAGUCCAGGGAGCAUGCCUGUCCGAGCGUCAGUGCCUGUUCUCCGGGCCCCUUCCCCCUGGAGGGGGGGAAAAAACAUGGGGGCCCGGGUGUUGGGUGCGCCGUCCUCCGGGGAUCCCGGAACGAGGACGGGGCCCGAAACGCAGCGGCGGUGCCGUGUCCGGUCCUGGAGCGUUAUGGGGCAUCUGUCACGCGCUCGAGGGGGGACUGGACCCGGUCACCGGCCUUUCCAGGGACGGACGUUCGCUCGUUCCUGUUCACCAUCCGGUUGACCUCGGAUCAGGUAGGGAUACCCGCUGAACUUAAGCAUAUCAAUAAGCGGAGGA
RNAcentral lists this ribosomal RNA (698 nucleotides) under uncultured fungus. RNAcentral describes it as "eukaryotic LSU rRNA". The stretch from base 251 to 404 matches the Rfam family "5.8S ribosomal RNA". The record is from RNAcentral. Lineage: Eukaryota; Fungi.